UGUGUGUUAGUGGAAGCGUCUGGAAAGGCGCGCGAUACAGGGUGACAGCCCCGUACACAAAAAUGCACAUGCUGUGAGCUCGAUGAGUAGGGCGGGACACGUGGUAUCCUGUCUGAAUAUGGGGGGACCAUCCUCCAAGGCUAAAUACUCCUGACUGACCGAUAGUGAACCAGUACCGUGAGGGAAAGGCGAAAAGAACCCCGGCGAGGGGAGUGAAAAAGAACCUGAAACCGUGUACGUACAAGCAGUGGGAGCACGCUUAGGCGUGUGACUGCGUACCUUUUGUAUAAUGGGUCAGCGACUUAUAUUCUGUAGCAAGGUUAACCGAAUAGGGGAGCCGAAGGGAAACCGAGUCUUAACUGGGCGUUAAGUUGCAGGGUAUAGACCCGAAACCCGGUGAUCUAGCCAUGGGCAGGUUGAAGGUUGGGUAACACUAACUGGAGGACCGAACCGACUAAUGUUGAAAAAUUAGCGGAUGACUUGUGGCUGGGGGUGAAAGGCCAAUCAAACCGGGAGAUAGCUGGUUCUCCCCGAAAGCUAUUUAGGUAGCGCCUCGUGAAUUCAUCUCCGGGGGUAGAGCACUGUUUCGGCAAGGGGGUCAUCCCGACUUACCAACCCGAUGCAAACUGCGAAUACCGGAGAAUGUUAUCACGGGAGACACACGGCGGGUGCUAACGUCCGUCGUGAAGAGGGAAACAACCCAGACCGCCAGCUAAGGUCCCAAAGUCAUGGUUAAGUGGGAAACGAUGUGGGAAGGCCCAGACAGCCAGGAUGUUGGCUUAGAAGCAGCCAUCAUUUAAAGAAAGCGUAAUAGCUCACUGGUCGAGUCGGCCUGCGCGGAAGAUGUAACGGGGCUAAACCAUGCACCGAAGCUGCGGCAGCGACACUAUGUGUUGUUGGGUAGGGGAGCGUUCUGUAAGCCUGUGAAGGUGUGCUGUGAGGCAUGCUGGAGGUAUCAGAAGUGCGAAUGCUGACAUAAGUAACGAUAAAGCGGGUGAAAAGCCCGCUCGCCGGAAGACCAAGGGUUCCUGUCCAACGUUAAUCGGGGCAGGGUGAGUCGACCCCUAAGGCGAGGCCGAAAGGCGUAGUCGAUGGGAAACAGGUUAAUAUUCCUGUACUUGGUGUUACUGCGAAGGGGGGACGGAGAAGGCUAUGUUGGCCGGGCGACGGUUGUCCCGGUUUAAGCGUGUAGGCUGGUUUUCCAGGCAAAUCCGGAAAAUCAAGGCUGAGGCGUGAUGACGAGGCACUACGGUGCUGAAGCAACAAAUGCCCUGCUUCCAGGAAAAGCCUCUAAGCAUCAGGUAACAUCAAAUCGUACCCCAAACCGACACAGGUGGUCAGGUAGAGAAUACCAAGGCGCUUGAGAGAACUCGGGUGAAGGAACUAGGCAAAAUGGUGCCGUAACUUCGGGAGAAGGCACGCUGAUAUGUAGGUGAAGUCCCUCGCGGAUGGAGCUGAAAUCAGUCGAAGAUACCAGCUGGCUGCAACUGUUUAUUAAAAACACAGCACUGUGCAAACACGAAAGUGGACGUAUACGGUGUGACGCCUGCCCGGUGCCGGAAGGUUAAUUGAUGGGGUUAGCCGCAA
This 1587-nucleotide ribosomal RNA is filed under the name Escherichia coli. RNAcentral's name for it is "partial 23S ribosomal RNA". It matches the Rfam family "Bacterial large subunit ribosomal RNA", at positions 323 to 1898 of the family's 2925-position model. Lineage: Bacteria; Pseudomonadati; Pseudomonadota; Gammaproteobacteria; Enterobacterales; Enterobacteriaceae. The record is from RNAcentral.